This is a long non-coding RNA of Ochlerotatus camptorhynchus, 822 nucleotides long. RefSeq lists it as uncharacterized. The record is from RefSeq and is a predicted model, not a curated record. Lineage: Eukaryota; Metazoa; Arthropoda; Insecta; Diptera; Culicidae. The transcript has 4 exons.
CGAAGGACGACGUUGAUGACGUAUUUAGUCCCAGCAGGACUGGAGAAAAAAUUCGAUUGCGAUCGAAACUGCGCUGCUGGUCGGAGUCCAAACAAUAUCAACCACCUCAAGAAGGAUGCUCAAGAAGUUUGAACUUUUCAAAGUCACAAGUUCAGUCUGAGGACUUAGAACAACUGCUGAAGAAUAAUGAGAAAGGAAAAAUAAUUUCGAAAUAUUUUGAAAAAUUUCAGACACUCAAUAACCUAAUGCGAAAGCAAUUGAGUGAAAUCAUCUGCGAUUCAUAUAUUUCAUUAGAAAAGCCCUUCCCGUUAUCAGAUAUGGAAAAAUUCAGUGAACUUAUUUCCGCAAAAUUUUCUUCUGAAACAAAAGACGCUUAUCUAUGUGCUCGUGAUAAAGAAAUUGGCAAAUUGAACCCGUCUGGAUUGAUAUAUAACCGGUACUAUAACUCGCGAGAUCGGAAAGCAUUCCAGCCACCAGUUCAGAGGAAACGGAAACUGGAAAACCCCAACGACGAUCCAAGAACAAGCGAAGCUCAUCAACAUUUCAGUCAAGAAGAUUUAGUUAUCCUGAAGGAAGAUCAUGCCUGGUUGAUGAAUAAUAAUGUUCCCGUCGAAGAUGUUAAAGAGCGUUGGAGAAGAACAGUAAAGUUUCGUCUUGAUAGUAUCAAAGAUCUGCAGAACGAAAGAAAUAAGUUCCAGAAGCUUUUGGAGGUGUGGCCUCGGUUUAAGGAUAGCGAAGGAGCAGUUUAUCUGGACAUUGAUUACAAUGCUCUAACGGACGGAAAAGGAAACGGACUCUUAGUUGGUUGGCCCUCGUUUUCUG